CUCUCCCAGACAAAUAAGGAUUUUUCACACUCUGCUGCUCUGUGUUUCACGGAAACCUGGCUGAAUGACGCCAUUCCGGACAGCGCGCUACAACUGCCGGGCUUUCAGCUGUUUAGAGCAGACCGCGAUGCAGAAUCAACGGGGAAAUCACGCGGCGGCGGGACAUGCUUUUACAUCAACGAAAGGUGGUGUACAGAUGUUACAGCGUUAAAGAAGAUGUGCUGUUCCGAUCUAGAAGCGCUUUUCAUUAACUGUAAGCCGUUCUAUUCGCCGCGGGAGUUUCACUCGUUCAUUCUCGUGAGUAUUUACAUCCCUCCGCAAGCACACGUGAGCUCAGCUUUACAGAAACUCGCUGAUCUGAUCACAGAGACAGAGCAACAACACCCGGACUCUGUUUUAAUCAUUCUCGGGGACUUUAAUAAAGCAAAUCUUUCCCGUGAACUGCCAAAAUACAGACAGCAUAUUACAUGUCCCACCAGAGACAGUAGUAUACUGGACCAUUGUUACUCCACAAUAAAGGAUGCAUAUCGCUCGGUCCCCAGAGCAGCUGUAGGACUCUCUGACCACUGCCUGGUUCAUCUUAUACCGACCUACAGGCAUAAACUUAAAUCUGCUAAACCUGUAGUAAAGUCUGUAAAGAGGUGGACCAACGAAACAGAGCAGGCAUUGCAAGCCUGUUUCGACUGCACUGAUUGGAGUGUUUUUGAAGCAGCCACCAACGAUCUGGACGAGCUCACAGAAUCUGUAACAUCAUAUAUCAGUUUCUGUGAAGACAUGUGCAUCCCUACCAGGACUCAUUUAACAUUCAACAAUGAUAAGCCAUGGUUUACAGCAAAACUUCGUCAUCUUCGUCAGGCCAAAGAGGACGCCUACAAAAGGGGGGACAGAGUCUUGUACAAUCAGGCCAGAAACACACUGAAUAAGGAGAUUAGAGUGGCCAAGAGGAACUACGCUAAAAAACUAGAACACCAGUUUUCUGCGAAUGAGCCUGCAUCAGUGUGGAAAGGCCUGAAGGACAUCACCAACUACAAGACACCAUCCCCCAGCACUGAGGCCAAUCAACAACUUGCUGAAGACCUGAAUGGGUUUUACUGUAGAUUUGAAACUCCCAGUCUAACACCCCACACCCGCUCUGAACAUCUCUCCACACAACCAUCAACACCUCCUGCAACCCCCCUCUCCCCCACUCCUACGUUUCAGAUCAGUGAGGAUGAUGUGCGCCAGGUCUUCAGGAAGAACAAGAGAAGAAAAGCACCAGGCCCAGACGGUGUGACACCAGCCUGUCUGAAAACCUGCGCUGACCAACUGUCCCC
Molecule: long non-coding RNA, 1313 nt
Organism: Sinocyclocheilus grahami
Lineage: Eukaryota; Metazoa; Chordata; Actinopteri; Cypriniformes; Cyprinidae
Source: Ensembl